AUGGCCACGCAAAAAUGUAUGAUACAUGACACUUUGCUAUCUCAUUUGCCCUGUUCUUGUAUAUGCAACUAUUCUGAACUCUUUUUUAUGCAGAUUAUGCAAACAGAUCGUACUACCGUGCUGCACUCUAAGGUUUCUAGUGUUUGUAGUCAGGUGUCUUUCAACAAUAGCGAGAAUGUGGAUCCCAACAAAACAACUACUGGAACUCAGGUGACCAACCAUGAGACUGGUUGCAGUACUUCAGAAGGUGCAGUGAGUAAUACACUGAAGAGAAAGAAGGUUUCUAAAACAACAAGAAUGAAAAAAACUACUCAAGCAAUCUCUGCUACAACCGGAAACAACAUACUUAGGAAUUCGGGCAGGAAAACAUGA
This 372-nucleotide ribosomal RNA is filed under the name Triticum aestivum (bread wheat). Its description in RNAcentral is "partial small subunit ribosomal RNA". The record is from RNAcentral. Lineage: Eukaryota; Viridiplantae; Streptophyta; Magnoliopsida; Poales; Poaceae.